This 427-nucleotide ribosomal RNA is filed under the name uncultured Candidatus Protochlamydia sp. RNAcentral's name for it is "bacterial SSU rRNA". It matches the Rfam family "Bacterial small subunit ribosomal RNA", at positions 355 to 774 of the family's 1533-position model. The record is from RNAcentral. Lineage: Bacteria; Pseudomonadati; Chlamydiota; Chlamydiia; Parachlamydiales; Parachlamydiaceae.
UCGAGAAUCAUUCGCAAUGGGCGAAAGCCUGACGAUGCGACGCCGUGUGAACGAUGAAGGCCUUCGGGUCGUAAAGUUCUUUCGCCUGGGAACAAGAGAGGCCGACGAAUAAUCGGUUAAUUUGAGGGUACCAGGAAAAGAAGCACCGGCUAACUCCGUGCCAGCAGCUGCGGUAAUACGGAGGGUGCAAGCAUUAAUCGGAUUUAUUGGGCAUAAAGGGCGCGUAGGCGGAUAAGCAAGUCAGAUGUGAAAUCCCGGGGCUCAACCUCGGAACAGCAUUUGAAACUCCUAAUCUAGAGGAUAGGCGGGGAAAACGGAAUUCCACAAGUAGCGGUGAAAUGCGUAGAUAUGUGGAAGAACAUCGGUGGCGAAGGCGGUUUUCUAGCUUAUUCCUGACGCUGAGGCGCGAAAGCAAGGGGAUCAAACA